CCUACGGGGGGCAGCAGUGAGGAAUAUUGGUCAAUGGACGAGAGUCUGAACCAGCCAAGUAGCGUGAAGGAUGACUGCCCUAUGGGUUGUAAACUUCUUUUAUAUGGGAAUAAAAUGUUCCACGUGUGGGAUUUUGUAUGUACCAUAUGAAUAAGGAUCGGCUAACUCCGUGCCAGCAGCCGCGGUAAUACGGAGGAUCCGAGCGUUAUCCGGAUUUAUUGGGUUUAAAGGGAGCGUAGGUGGAUUGUUAAGUCAGUUGUGAAAGUUUGCGGCUCAACCGUAAAAUUGCAGUUGAAACUGGCAGUCUUGAGUAAAGUAGAGGUGGGCGGAAUUCGUGGUGUAGCGGUGAAAUGCUUAGAUAUCACGAAGAACUCCGAUUGCGAAGGCAGUUCACUGGACUGCAACUGACACUGAGGCUCGAAAGUGUGGGUAUCAAACAGGAUUAGAUACCCUAGUAGUC
Molecule: ribosomal RNA, 460 nt
Filed under: uncultured bacterium
Lineage: Bacteria
Description: partial 16S ribosomal RNA
Rfam family: Bacterial small subunit ribosomal RNA
Source: RNAcentral